CCAAGAGGAAAGCGCGCCAGCGAAAACCAAAAAGAGUUUUUAAUAAAUUAUCUAGGCAAUGUAGACAUUGCAAACGAUAAAUUUGUGACGGCAGAUGGUGCCAAAUUUCGCGAAGAAAAGUGGAAAGAACUAGCGGUGAGCCUUAAUGCUCUUGGCGGCACUCAAAAGGAUGGUGCAAAAUGGAAGAAGUAAUGGAGCGAUUUAAAACUUCAUACUCGCACAAAAUAUAGUGCAAUAAGGCAGGCAGAGCAGAGAAGUGGUAUAAACGGUUUGAGCCGGGCCAAAGCACUGUCACCGCUGGAAGAGCGCAUAAUUAAGAUUACAACUGUGCAGGCAGUCGAUGGUGAUGAAACGGGCG
Molecule: long non-coding RNA, 358 nt
Organism: Rhagoletis zephyria (snowberry fruit fly)
Lineage: Eukaryota; Metazoa; Arthropoda; Insecta; Diptera; Tephritidae
Source: RefSeq, a predicted model, not a curated record